This 73-nucleotide transfer RNA is filed under the name Candidatus Roizmanbacteria bacterium CG_4_10_14_0_8_um_filter_35_28. RNAcentral describes it as "tRNA-Lys". It matches the Rfam family "tRNA". From Rfam's summary of the family: Transfer RNA (tRNA) molecules are approximately 80 nucleotides in length. Their secondary structure includes four short double-helical elements and three loops (D, anti-codon, and T loops). The record is from RNAcentral. Lineage: Bacteria; Candidatus Roizmaniibacteriota. RNAcentral also lists the same sequence under 6 other names.
GGGCCGCUAGCUCAACUGGUAGAGCGCCUCCCUCUUAAGGAGAUUGUUCCGAGUUCGAGUCUCGGGCGGCUCA